This 424-nucleotide ribosomal RNA is filed under the name Fusobacteriota bacterium. RNAcentral's name for it is "Fusobacteria bacterium partial 16S ribosomal RNA". It matches the Rfam family "Bacterial small subunit ribosomal RNA", at positions 355 to 776 of the family's 1533-position model. The record is from RNAcentral. Lineage: Bacteria; Fusobacteriati; Fusobacteriota.
UGAGGAAUAUUGGUCAAUGGGCGAGAGCCUGAACCAGCCAAGUAGCGUGCAGGAUGACGGCCCUAUGGGUUGUAAACUGCUUUUAUGUGGGGAUAAAGUGCGUGACGUGUCAUGCAUUGCAGGUACCACAUGAAUAAGGACCGGCUAAUUCCGUGCCAGCAGCCGCGGUAAUACGGAAGGUCCGGGCGUUAUCCGGAUUUAUUGGGGUUAAAGGGAGCGUAGGCUGUCUAUUAAGCGUGUUGUGAAAUUUACCGGCUCAACCGGUGGCUUGCAGCGCGAACUGGUCGACUUGAGUAUGCAGGAAGUAAGCGGAAUUCAUGGUGUAGCGGUGAAAUGCUUAGAUAUCAUGACGAACUCCGGUUGCGCAGGCAGCUUACUGUAGCAUAACUGACGCUGAUGCUCGAAAGUGCGGGUAUCAAACAGG